GGUGACCAGCUAUCCUGGUUUGCCUGGGACUGAGAGGUCUUCAGGUGUUAAAUCUAGGAAAGUUUCAAGAAAAUCAGG
Molecule: microRNA precursor, 78 nt
Filed under: Mustela putorius furo (domestic ferret)
Lineage: Eukaryota; Metazoa; Chordata; Mammalia; Carnivora; Mustelidae
Description: miRNA (ENSMPUG00000020484.1)
Source: RNAcentral